This 617-nucleotide long non-coding RNA is filed under the name Phoenix dactylifera (date palm). RNAcentral describes it as "long non-coding RNA (PDAC_LNC019560)". Lineage: Eukaryota; Viridiplantae; Streptophyta; Magnoliopsida; Arecales; Arecaceae. The record is from RNAcentral.
GACUGGCUCUGCAAAAUUGGGUCGGGUUUGGGCAAAAAUUUAAGCCCGAUGGUCGGGCUGGGGUGGGACUAGGAAUAGCCAUCAGGCCCAACUUCCACUACAGAAUCCGGCCUGAGCCCGGCCCAGCCUGGGGUUUGAUCGACUGUAAAACUUGAGUAAGGCUUGGAGCUUUCCAAUAUGACAUUUAUGAACAGACUGUCUUUAGAUACAAUAACCAUGUAUUUGCUAAAACUUGAAAGGAAAUUGAUCUGGUUGUGAUAGAGAAUGCAGGAACAGAUUUUCAUAAAUACAUAUAAAUCUUGUAUACGGAGAUGGUCAGUGGGUUUAAGGUAGAAGAUCCUCUACUUCAGGUAUAGGUUUUUCAGGGACUACCUUUGGCUCUUGGAUAUUCCUGGUAUUGGUAAAUGAUUUGUUUGAAGUUUGGUAGGGCUUUUUUUUGUGAAGUACUAUGCAAUGAUUUUUUUGUGAAGUUCAUAGGGCUAUGAUUUUUUUUUCCUUCUCUUGUGAAGUACCAUGGCAAUCGCUAAACGUUAACUGCAAGGUAUAUCAUUACAUGUAAUCUUGAUUUUUAACUGCUCGAAAAUGCAAUGUCUUAGCUUUCUAGGGCUCUCGGUAGC